ACGGCCUUCGGGUUGUAAACCGCUUUUGAUCGGGAGCAAGCCUUCGGGUGAGUGUACCUUUCGAAUAAGCACCGGCUAACUACGUGCCAGCAGCCGCGGUAAUACGUAGGGUGCAAGCGUUAUCCGGAAUUAUUGGGCGUAAAGGGCUCGUAGGCGGUUCGUCGCGUCCGGUGUGAAAGUCCAUCGCUUAACGGUGGAUCUGCGCCGGGUACGGGCGGGCUGGAGUGCGGUAGGGGAGACUGGAAUUCCCGGUGUAACGGUGGAAUGUGUAGAUAUCGGGAAGAACACCAAUGGCGAAGGCAGGUCUCUGGGCCGUUACUGACGCUGAGGAGCGAAAGCGUGGGGAGCGAACAGGAUUAGAUACCCUGGUAGUCCACGCCGUAAACGGUGGAUGCUGGAUGUGGGGCCCGUUCCACGGGUUCCGUGUCGGAGCUAACGCGUUAAGCAUCCCGCCUGGGGAGUACGGCCGCAAGGCUAAAACUCAAAGAAAUUGACGGGGGCCCGCACAAGCGGCGGAGCAUGCGGAUUAAUUCGAUGCAACGCGAAGAACCUUACCUGGGCUUGACAUGUUCCCGACCGCUCCAGAGAUGGGGCUUCCCUUCGGGGCGGGUUCACAGGUGGUGCAUGGUCGUCGUCAGCUCGUGUCGUGAGAUGUUGGGUUAAGUCCCGCAACGAGCGCAACCCUCGCCCUGUGUUGCCAGCACAUGAUGGUGGGAACUCACGGGGGACCGCCGGGGUCAACUCGGAGGAAGGUGGGGAUGACGUCAGAUCAUCAUGCCCCUUACGUCCAGGGCUUCACGCAUGCUACAAUGGCCGGUACAACGGGAUGCGACACGGCGACGUGGAGCGGAUCCCUGAAAACCGGUCUCAGUUCGGAUUGGAGUCUGCAACCCGACUCCAUGAAGGCGGAGUCGCUAGUAAUCGCGGAUCAGCAACGCCGCGGUGAAUGCGUUCCCGGGCCUUGUACACACCGCCCGUCAAGUCAUGAAAGUGGGUAGCACCCGAAGCCGGUGGCCUAACCCUUUGUGGAUGAGCCGUCUAAGGUAGACUGAG
Molecule: ribosomal RNA, 1053 nt
Filed under: Bifidobacterium pseudocatenulatum
Lineage: Bacteria; Bacillati; Actinomycetota; Actinomycetes; Bifidobacteriales; Bifidobacteriaceae
Description: bacterial SSU rRNA
Rfam family: Bacterial small subunit ribosomal RNA
Source: RNAcentral